This 331-nucleotide ribosomal RNA is filed under the name uncultured eukaryote. Its description in RNAcentral is "partial 18S ribosomal RNA". It matches the Rfam family "Eukaryotic small subunit ribosomal RNA", at positions 1470 to 1796 of the family's 1831-position model. The record is from RNAcentral.
CCCUUAGAUGUUCUGGGCCGCACGCGCGCUACACUGACGAAGUCAGCGAGCAUGUCCUACGCCGACAGGUGCGGGGAAUCUUGUCAAACUUCGUCGUGAUGGGGAUUGAUUAUUGAAAUUCUUGAUCAUCAACGAGGAAUUCCUAGUAAGCGCAAGUCAGCAGCUUGCGUUGAUUACGUCCCUGCCCUUUGUACACACCGCCCAUCGCUACUACCGAUUGAAUGGUUUAGUGAGAUCUUCGGAUUGGCGCCACUGCGGCUCAGCAAUGGGCUCGGUGGAUGCCGAAAAGUUGAUCAAACUUGAUCAUUUAGAGGAAGUAAAAGUCGUAACA